Molecule: transfer RNA, 74 nt
Filed under: Gammaproteobacteria bacterium
Lineage: Bacteria; Pseudomonadati; Pseudomonadota; Gammaproteobacteria
Also listed under: 1 other name
Description: tRNA-Gln
Rfam family: tRNA
About the family: Transfer RNA (tRNA) molecules are approximately 80 nucleotides in length. Their secondary structure includes four short double-helical elements and three loops (D, anti-codon, and T loops).
Source: RNAcentral
UGGGAUAUCGUCUAACGGUAGGACAGCGGACUCUGACUCCGCCGGUGAGGGUUCGAAUCCUUCUAUCCCAGCCA